GAUGAAGAACGUAGCGAGAUGCGAUAAGUAGUGUGAAUUGCAGAAUUCAGUGAAUCAUCGAAUCUUUGAACGCACAUUGCGCCUCCUGGCAUUCCGGGAGGCAUGCCUGUUCGAGCGUCAUCAAACCCCAUCGUGCAAAUGAAUUAUUUUUUUUGCGCGGAAGUGACGAUUGAGCGAGAAUAACAAAUCCUCUCGCACCUCGUCGAAAUGAUUGCGGGCGGAAUUUGGGAUCGGGUUCCUCGGCGUAGUGUAUCAAUGCAUAUUUAUGCAACUUGCCGCGGAGUUGAGCCUGACCCACGCGUUCUCGCCGUACAAACACCUCAUUACUUUACAAGUUUUUGACCUCGGAUCAGGUAGGGAUACCCGCUGAACUUAAGCAUAUCAAUAAGCGGAGGA
This 396-nucleotide unclassified non-coding RNA is filed under the name soil metagenome. RNAcentral describes it as "partial contains 5.8S ribosomal RNA, internal transcribed spacer 2, and large subunit ribosomal RNA". The stretch from base 1 to 120 matches the Rfam family "5.8S ribosomal RNA", at positions 35 to 154 of the family's 154-position model. The record is from RNAcentral.